This 468-nucleotide ribosomal RNA is filed under the name uncultured bacterium. Its description in RNAcentral is "partial 16S ribosomal RNA". It matches the Rfam family "Bacterial small subunit ribosomal RNA", at positions 28 to 507 of the family's 1533-position model. The record is from RNAcentral.
GACGAACGCUGGCGGCGUGCUUAACACAUGCAAGUCGAACGGAAAGGCCCUGCUUUUGUGGGGUGCUCGAGUGGCGAACGGGUGAGUAACACGUGAGUAACCUGCCCUUGACUUUGGGAUAACUUCAGGAAACUGGGGCUAAUACCGGAUAGGAGCUCCUGCUGCAUGGUGGGGGUUGGAAAGUUUCGGCGGUUGGGGAUGGACUCGCGGCUUAUCAGCUUGUUGGUGGGGUAGUGGCUUACCAAGGCUUUGACGGGUAGCCGGCCUGAGAGGGUGACCGGCCACAUUGGGACUGGGAUACGGCCCAGACGCCUACGGGAGGCAGCAGUGGGGAAUAUUGCACAAUGAGCGGAAGCCUGAUGCAGCAACGCCGCGUGCGGGAUGACGGCCUUCGGGUUGUAAACCGCUUUCGCCUGUGACGAAGCGUGAGUGACGGUAAUGGGUAAAGAAGCACCGGCUAACUACGUG